RNAcentral lists this long non-coding RNA (640 nucleotides) under Numida meleagris (helmeted guineafowl). RNAcentral describes it as "lncRNA (ENSNMEG00000014557.1)". Lineage: Eukaryota; Metazoa; Chordata; Aves; Galliformes; Numididae. The record is from RNAcentral.
GGGAGCGGCGCUCUGCCACGGGAGAGCGGAGCCGCACCGCCUCGAGCCGGCUCCCAACGGCCGCUCCCGCUCAGCCAAUCGGAGCCGGCGGCGCUGCCGCUGACCAAUGAGAGCCCGGGGGCGGGGCGCAGCGGCCGUUGGGGGCGGGGCCUCGAGGGGCGCCCUGUUGGUAGAGGGGAUGGGAGAUGGGAGAUGGGAUCGGGAUUGGGAUGCGGGAUUGGGAUUGACGGGGGGGGAUAUGGGCUUGGGAUGUGGGAUAUGGGAUUGGGAUUGAGAAACAGACAAUUUUGAAUAACUCGGUGAAGUGAAAAACAGGCUUCACUGACUGAACCGAAGCAAAUAUUCCUGUGCUGGCAUUACGUGCAACAUUCUUUGCAAUCCCAAUAACUCCAAGGAAAGACAGAAGUGGACUUUGCUGCCCCGAGCUGAGGACUGCGGCCCCGUGAGAACAGUGCCCAUCUUUCCAUGACAAACAGCGGUGUCCCAGUUAACGAGGAGGGACGCGCUAAGAGGGAACCGUGGGGCUGCAUCAGGAUCCUCCCCGAGGAUCGGCGCUUGUUCCAGCACCGGUCCAUCUCUUUAUUGACCACGGUGGCAAAAGCAGGCAGACGCCGACGAAAGGUGCCGACGGCGUUCGUGA